Non-coding RNA from Gossypium hirsutum (cotton), 107 nucleotides. Lineage: Eukaryota; Viridiplantae; Streptophyta; Magnoliopsida; Malvales; Malvaceae. The record is from Rfam.
AAUCUAUGGUGCGGACAUUUUUUAAUCAACAUUUUGAAUUGUUCCCAUGUCUCAUAGAAACUUUCUCCCUCCAUCAGUCUAAAAACAACAAUCUUUCUUCUUAGUUG